This 491-nucleotide ribosomal RNA is filed under the name uncultured bacterium. Its description in RNAcentral is "bacterial SSU rRNA". It matches the Rfam family "Bacterial small subunit ribosomal RNA", at positions 43 to 560 of the family's 1533-position model. The record is from RNAcentral.
CAUGCCUAACACAUGCAAGUCGAACGCAGGGUCCCGGUUCGCCGGGGCUCUGAGUGGCGCACGGGUGAGUAGCGCGUGGGAACCUGCCCUGUUGUGGGGGAUAACCGAGGGAAACUUCGGCUAAUACCGCAUGCGCCCCCGCGAAAGCGGGGGGAAAGAUUUAUCGCAGCAGGAGGGGCCCGCGUCGGAUUAGCUGGUUGGCGGGGUAACGGCCCACCAAGGCGAUGAUCCGUAGCUGGUCUGAGAGGAUGAUCAGCCACACUGGGACUGAGACACGGCCCAGACUCCUACGGGAGGCAGCAGUGGGGAAUAUUGGACAAUGGGGGCAACCCUGAUCCAGCAAUGCCGCGUGAGUGAUGAAGGCCUUCGGGUUGUAAAGCUCUUUCGCCCGCGACGAUGAUGACGGUAGCGGGAGAAGAAGCCCCGGCUAACUUCGUGCCAGCAGCCGCGGUAAUACGAAGGGGGCGAGCGUNGUUCGGAAUCACUGGGCG